CGAUUUUAUCCACAGAGUUUACCUUUGUCUAUGGAUUAUUGAAUUUUAUCUGUCUUUGAUGGUUGUUUAUUUAUAAAAAUUAACAUUUCGUCGUAGUUUGUAUUGAAAAAUUUCAAUACCUAACUUGUUAUACUUCUAUAAUUGGAUUUUAAAUAAAAUUAUGGGUAUGGAAUGCAGAUAACAAAUGAAUAGGCAGUGUAUAUAUUUUUGGAAUGAGAUAUCUGGUGGUGACUUUGGACAAUAUCAUUAGUAAGACUUUGGGGACAGAUAAUUUUUUCGUGUAAUUAUAUAAAGCGUUGUGCAUGUUCAGUUUAUUCAGAAGAGCGAUGGACAUUCAAGCUAGGGAUAUGAAGAAAAAGGCCAAGCUUUUAAAAAAGCUGACCAUGUUUACAAUAUAUGAAGUGGACUGGUUUCAUUACUUCUAAAUAAAUGAGACAGACUUCAGUGAAUUUUCCACCUUAUUAUAUCGAAAUUAUGUAAUGGAUGAAGCAGAAGAAAUUUACUCAUUCAAGGGUAUCGACUGGGACAUCAGUGUCCCAGAAGUAUUUUAUAAAUGUCCUGUUCGGCAAUAAAUAUACCCAGCAUGGAAUCAAUUGGGAAUAUAAAGCCAGAUCAGUUUAUUCAAGGUACUAUAUCUAUAUUUGUGUCAGCUAAUAGUUUAUUAUCAUACGAAAGUUUCAGAGAAAAAAAUAUCAUAUUCAGGAAAAGGACUUGAAGUUUGUCAGUUGGACCUGAGGCUUGUUGCUUUUCUGAAUGGUGUUAUUUUCAAGAAUGGGGAGUCAGUGAAAUUAUUGGAAGUCAAAUGUCUAUUCAUUGGCCAAAUUAUUUCUGCUGAAAAUACUGAGCACCAUUGCCAAUAUUUGAGAAGAGGAAAAGCCGGCUAAUUUGAAAGAAUGAAUAAACAUUAUGCUAGAGUCUGAUUAAGUAUGACAAUUAUUAAUUUGAAAAAUUGGGACUCUAUAGUGUUCUCAUCUGGUGAUAAGACGUUCAAAACUGUUAGUGAGCCAUUUGAUGAAGAAUUCACAAUAGCUAAUUCUUAAAACUUGAAAUGAUUUAUUUUAAAAAUAUGCUUUACACAUUGUGUAGCAUGAAAGUUUUGUUAGAGUUCACCCUGUGUAACUCUUUUUUAAACAUGCCUACAACAAAUCAAAUCGAUUAGUCCAUCUAGCGGCAGCUAGAUGAACUAGAUUAUAGAGGACAAUUGGUCCAUCUAGCGGUGAAUAGACGAACUAGCGUAUGAAGGACGAUGAGUCCUUCUAGCGGCCUAUAGACAAACUCCUAUAGAGGACAAUUAGUCCAUCUGGUGGUCAAGGGAGGUAAAGGAACGGUUGACGGCCGUUACGUGUUUUUCCAGACUGUAGUCGAUGACUGAAAGUGGUGGAUGUAACUCACGUGUUUUUCGAAAAAUCUCGUUAAAAAGAAAGUAUAGUUAAUGGUGUUGAAUACGAGAUAUCUAAGUUGGUAGCAGAGCGAAUAACUCUUAAUUUUUGACAACAGUAUUUUUGUCGAUAUCAUUGUGAAAUAAUUGAAAUAAAUCCCAUAUAACAAAAUGGACAACAACCAAGAAUAUGACGUUCCCAUCAAUACAGAAGCUCAAAUUGAAGACCUUGAUUGGAUGAUUACAUCUCCACACCAAGAAGAGGCAGUGAAUAAAACAGAUUUUGCUACGUUAAUAAAACAGCAAGUAAAUGAAACUCUUGCCAAUGGAGGGUUAGACUUUAACUGGGACUUCGUUCAUUGAAUCUACUAGAUUUCCUAACUGAAGAAUAUGGAAGUUUGUCUCACAAUAUGCCUUUUGGUAAUAGAGUUCUUCAUGAUGCUCAAGCAAUGCAAUAUUUAAUAUCAACACUAUCUAAGGGGAUUGCAAAAAGUUUGUUGAAAAGUAAAAUCUGCUAAUAGUAAAUAUAAGCAGAUCCUAGAAAUGUUUUCUGGUCAAAAACUUCAAGAAUUUAUUGUUAUCGAAGAAAACUAUAAUAAGUUGCAUUUUCGUGAUUAUGACUGUCCUAUAAAAUUCGUGACAGAAUUUCAAAACAGUAUCGAAGAAUACAGAAAACUGGGAACAGUAUUUGAAGAUCUAUUGAUUGCUAGGUUCUUGGUAAAAUUAAAAUUGAGAAUUGAUAUGAAUCUGGAAAACUAUAUCCUAUUUUUUAUAAUAUGAUGAGAAGCUUGCCAGAACACCUGAGAAACUUCAAUACUCGCAUCCGAAAAAGGAAAAAAUGAGAAUGAAGAAAGUUAAACAUGGAAGAGAAGUAAACACACAACCCCAAUGAAGGAAAUGGAGCAUAAUGAAAAUCAGAACCAAAAAAGAAAUAUUGAUUUCAAGAAAAGAAUAAGCAUGACUGAUUUAUACUCCAAAUAAGAAAUAGAAAAAUGGAUACCUAUAGAACUGGAAAAAAAACCAAGGUGAGAAGUGUGGUACCUACUUACACACUCAAAAUGUAUGUCCCUAUCCAGGGAAACUCUGCUAUAGGCUAUAGGUUUGGACACAAAAAAAAAAAAUGUAAAGAAAGUGAGUAUGAGUAGGAUUUAUAAUGUAUGAUAGUGUAGUGACUCGAACAGAAAGAAUCGGAGGGGGAAUUGUGGCAUAAAAGGUGUGCUCACAUUUCCUCUACGUACUUGAAUAAAUUACGGAAUGUGUCAACAGGUAUGACGGAAUUUAUUUACAAAAAAAAAAAAAAAAGCAAUGGAAAAAUCCUCCACAUGCUCUCUAUCGAAAUUAACUAGGAAAACGAUAAACAAAGCCAGAAAUGGGUCAAAUAGAUCAUGUGAAAUAAUUCACACAGAUUUAAUUGGUCUAAUCACACCAGCCACAUUUGUUAACAAGAAUAAAUAUAUUCUAACCUUUCUUGAUAAUUAUACUUGCUUUUUGCAAACUUUUGUAUUAAAAUCCAAAAUACAAGUACCUGAGUGUUUAGAGCAAAGUUAAAGAACUUUAAAAUCAAUGUUUUCUGAGAAAUAUUCAUUUAAACUUAUAAGAUGUCACAAUGGAAUAGAAUUCACAGGCAAUGUGACUACAUUAAUACUUGAUAAGUACAGUAUUGAAUUACAAACAGCUGAACCAUAUACUCAGAACAUAAUGGUACAAUUGAAAGAUUGAAUCGCACUUUAGAAGAACGCAUUCGAGCUUUACUUGUAAGUUCAGGAUUUUCACUAUCUUUUUGGGGCCUAGCUACUCAAUGCGCAACUUAUUUGUACAACAAAACCCCUUUUAACAAGAGCAAUUUACUUACUUCAUUAAAGCACUGUUUAUGUUGAUGUAUUUCAUUGCCCAAAAUUACCCUUAUAUAAUAAUAAUCUUUAUUCUCUGACCUCAAAUCAGUAAUGUUGACAUAACUAUUUUAGAUAUUAUUGGAUGCAAUAUGAAACUGUUUUUUAUUAGGGCUCAAACUUAUGAGUAAGUAGGUGAGUUUAUUGAUAAAUAGGAAUAAUAACUGUAACACGUUUGAGACAUCCACUGAAUAGGCUUCACAACCCGCCAAACGAGCUGCUGUAUCAGAAAACCGAGAUUCAACCAAUUAAGGAUCGAAUAAUACAUCUUAACCAAAGAUUCUCCAAAAGACUGUCUGAAACUGAAGAAAUAAACAACUUAUUUCUAAGUGAACAAACACACCACAGUACAAGAACAUUUCCAACAUCAACCAUUAUCGAAAGCUUAAGAUGCCUCAACAUAUGAAGUCCUACUACCUAUUCUUACCUAUUUUACUUUUACAAUAAUGUUAUUCAUAGAACUCAUAGUAUUUAUGUAUAUAUAUUUUCUAUUUUCUUUUAAUUGUACAUGGCUGAAGUGUAAAAAGAAGAACAAUUCUACCGUGUAAUGUCAUAUUUCUAUGAUCAUAUUUUUAACCUUUUUUGUGAGCUCGAUGUAGAGCAUUAUUAUUAAAAGCAGACCUCUUGGUGUAAGUACAUAUAUUGUUAUUCAUUAUCAGUUAUACUUGUGUUCAAUAUUAGUUUCAUUGAUUAUAUUACAUAGUUAAAACAG
Molecule: long non-coding RNA, 3979 nt
Organism: Harmonia axyridis
Lineage: Eukaryota; Metazoa; Arthropoda; Insecta; Coleoptera; Coccinellidae
Exons: 2
Source: RefSeq, a predicted model, not a curated record